AUGGCCUUGAGCCAGGCAGGGGCGGGCUUGGCCAGCCCCUUCACCAGUUUCCGCGUCUUCGUCAGCAGAUCGCCUCGCAUGUACGACAUCUCGCCUCCACACCCGGUGGGCGGUGGCCGCCGCCGCCGCUGCAGCCGCAAGUGGGAGGAAAUGCCGGCGAGAUGGUGGCGGGAUCGUUUUCCUUCUCGCCUUCGUGGCUAG
Molecule: ribosomal RNA, 201 nt
Filed under: Triticum aestivum (bread wheat)
Lineage: Eukaryota; Viridiplantae; Streptophyta; Magnoliopsida; Poales; Poaceae
Description: partial small subunit ribosomal RNA
Source: RNAcentral